CAAACUGAGUCUCCUCCCACAGCUCAUUCUCGCCCGCGCCCCGCUUCUCGUCUCCAUGUCCUCGCUGGCGUCACCGAGGCGGAUCCAUGGCGGAGAUCGGCGUUGCUUCGUUGUAUACUUAUCGUCCGGCGGCUGAUGGGGCGUGUCGUCCUCUUCGCCCGGCGGAGGUGGGGGAAGGUCGUGCCGGGACGGCUCGACACGCUCGGCCGCUGUCUGGGGGUGGGUUGACGCUGCAGUCGCCGGCGGAGGUGGGAGCGGAGAUGGGGAAGGGUGUUGUUCGUGCUCUUCGCCUUGAAUCUGGGAAGAGGCCAGCGAAUCUCGAGCGCGGAAGGCAAGUUCGCGGGAUGCGAGAUGGGUAAUUUCUCUAUCCUACUUUGUCAUGCGUUCGCUAUUUUUGUAGAUUUUGGUGGCGCCUUUUCACUUGGAAUAGGAUGGCUCGAUCUGUAGCAUAAUGUAGUGAAACACGACAGUCCUUGUUUUGUGUUUUUUGUCAAUUUAUUCAUGCAGGUUUAUAUCAUGCGUGUGAACAACUACCUGCUGGAAUUGAUGAUUGAUGAUUCCUUCUCGUUUUUUGAGGAUGAUUUUGGUGUCGUAGUGAUGUUUUGAGUCUAGGAUUUGAGUUUGGGCCGCUUGUUUAGUUCUCUGAAAUUCAUCUUAAUAUGUCUUUGUAGUUUGUACUGUUUGAUUUGGAGGCAUCUUGGUGUGUCAAUUUUCACCUUAAUGUAGUUGGGACAGCUUGUUUAGUUCUCUUUUUUGUGCUGUUUGAUUUGGAGGUAGCUUGGUGUGUCAAUUUUCAUUAUCCACGAUUAACCACAAGGAAUUGUUAUAUUUGGUGUUGUAGUGCUCUACUGCUCUUUUGAGUGACAGUAUUUUCUUGUGUGUGGGGAGAUGGUAUGUAGUUUUUGUCAGUGGUCUGAAGUUCAUCUGCAGUUAUGUUUGAUGAUUUUGGUGGUUUCCGGAUUAUCUCAUUUUCAGUAGCCAUGAUGAAUUGUCAGAUUUUUUUGUGGUUAUGUGUAGCUUUUUUUUGCAGUUGGUAUCCCUUCAUUCAUGGAGUUCGUGAGUCGAGCAGUUGAGCGACUAGUCAUGAAAUAUUUGAGUACACUGACUCACUUUUUGGGCUUGAAUUAGUGAGGCGCUCAACUUGCUAGAUUGAAAGUUGGAACACUAGCUAUUUUAUAGGCUUGCUCAAGAACGAGCCACCUCAUGUAGAGCAAGUAUAAUAAGUCCUAGUCAGCUGGCUAUAAGGUUAAAAUAAUAUAUUCAUGCUUAGUUGGAGGAGAGAGAUGAGGAGAGAGAAGAGGAGUGGGUUCUAAUGCAAGAGCCAACUCUAGCACGUGCUUCUAGGCACUUUGUGAGAGUAAAAUGUGGACCAUCUAUUGAUAAAGUAAUACAUGAUUAUAGCUCACUAUUAUACAUAUUGGCUCUAUAUUAGCUACAAAUGACAUGGCACAUGGCUUAUAGCCAGCAGCUGGCUAUACUAUUAAACUUGCUCGUAGGAGCAGGCCGCCGCUGCCAUCCAGUGACCAUCCGCCGCCGUUGUUGACCAGAAGCAUUGCGACGUCCUCCCUCCUCUGGUUCUGGUCAUAUCUGGUUGUAAUUAAUGUAUGUACAUGUCGACUAGUCCAGCUGUAGUCUGCAAAUAUUGCUUCAGUAAUCGUACAAAGUAUCUGUUACUCAUGUUUUUUUUAAAUAUAGCUGUUUUGUAUUAUAUGAUGCAGCCCCAUCUGCUAGUUGUGCCCAUUGCAAGGUCCUCCCCUCCUCCGGCUCUGCUCCUAUCUGGUUGUAAUAUAUGUGCCCAUUUUAUCUGUUACUCAUUUUGUCUGAAACCAUAGUGUCAUCUUUUUUAUAAGUGGCUAAUUCUAUGUGUUCAAUGAUGAAUGUGUAAAUAGAUUUUGUUUUCUCUGUUAAUUUUUUCAGAAGCAAUCAUUUUUUAGGUGUGUCAAAUGUGUUUUGUCCAAUGACUUUGCUCUUUUCUUGAUGUGUGGUGGUCAUACUGGAAGAAGAUUCAGGAUAUUGUGUGCUCCCAGAUUGUCCUUCAGCACCAAAGAAGGUGAAUCAGAACAUGGAUAUGUCACUUGCAGCCAUAUUUGUUCUUUCAGACGUAGCUGGGCAAUAACAUUCUACAGCCUUCAGUAUGCAUUCCCGGAAUUCUAGUAUUCCUCACCGAUCGGAUCCACCCCAACCUACAGCGCAAUCGAUCGUCUCCGUCAGGGCACCAGUUCAGCCACUGGAAGCCUCCUCAAGGUCCCUUGGCUUGGUUUCAUAUCAUUUCUAUGAAUCUCCAAGUUUUGCACUUCCUUCAUUUCCUGAAAUCUCUCAGCCUGAAAUCCUGGACACCCUGGACAACUGGAUACAUUUUGACCUAUGGCAGAAGUUAUUUGUGUCCGUCCUGAACGAUCCAGGUUCCAACAACAGCCUCUGCACUCCUCCUUGAUGAUCCUGUUGGACCUAAGGUCAUAGCAACUUAUCUUCAUUCCACAUGAAUCAGGAACUACAUGUCAGCAACCUGUUUCAUGGGCCUGGCCUUUUUGCAUAAGUUGAUAAGGUGAUUCGGACUGUACCUUAGGUUGCAAAGCAUCAAGUGGAUGUAGGGUUUCUUGCAGAUCUGCUUUUCCUUUCUUCUUGUCCGGUGGGAGCUCUUCCCCGUCCAGACAGGAGCAGGUGUUUUUUUAUGGGCUUUCUUGUGUUGUGCGUGGUGGAAGGAAAAAAACCGACUGAAAAUGGCUUGUACUGAAAUCUGUCUGUUCCGGGUUAAUGAAACAGACACUUUUUUUCAUUAUCCAAGUGUUUUUCAUUUAAAUGAAAUACACAGCUGUCUUCAUUU
This is a non-coding RNA of Lolium perenne, 2824 nucleotides long. The record is from RefSeq and is a predicted model, not a curated record. NCBI's taxonomy places the organism in Eukaryota, Viridiplantae, Streptophyta, Magnoliopsida, Poales, Poaceae.